RNAcentral lists this ribosomal RNA (549 nucleotides) under uncultured bacterium. RNAcentral describes it as "bacterial SSU rRNA". It matches the Rfam family "Bacterial small subunit ribosomal RNA", at positions 356 to 896 of the family's 1533-position model. The record is from RNAcentral.
AGGGAAUCUUCCGCAAUGGGCGAAAGCCUGACGGAGCAACGCCGCGUGAGUGAUGAAGGUCUUCGGAUUGUAAAACUCUGUUAUUAGGGAAGAACAAAUGUGUAAGUAACUAUGCACGUCUUGACGGUACCUAAUCAGAAAGCCACGGCUAACUACGUGCCAGCAGCCGCGGUAAUACGUAGGUGGCAAGCGUUAUCCGGAAUUAUUGGGCGUAAAGCGCGCGUAGGCGGUUUUUUAAGUCUGAUGUGAAAGCCCACGGCUCAACCGUGGAGGGUCAUUGGAAACUGGAAAACUUGAGUGCAGAAGAGGAAAGUGGAAUUCCAUGUGUAGCGGUGAAAUGCGCAGAGAUAUGGAGGAACACCAGUGGCGAAGGCGACUUUCUGGUCUGUAACUGACGCUGAUGUGCGAAAGCGUGGGGAUCAAACAGGAUUAGAUACCCUGGUAGUCCACGCCGUAAACGAUGAGUGCUAAGUGUUAGGGGGUUUCCGCCCCUUAGUGCUGCAGCUAACGCAUUAAGCACUCCGCCUGGGGAGUACGACCGCAAGGUUG